This 621-nucleotide ribosomal RNA is filed under the name uncultured Pseudomonadota bacterium. RNAcentral's name for it is "bacterial SSU rRNA". It matches the Rfam family "Bacterial small subunit ribosomal RNA", at positions 123 to 740 of the family's 1533-position model. Lineage: Bacteria; Pseudomonadati; Pseudomonadota. The record is from RNAcentral.
AAUUUGCCCUUAAGUGGGGGAUAACCCGGGGAAACCCGGAUUAAUACCGCAUGAUCUUUUCGAAGCAAAGCCGGGGACCGCAAGGCCUGGCGCUUUUGGAGAAGCCUACGUCGGAUUAGCUAGUUGGUGAGGUAAUGGCUCACCAAAGCUGCGAUCCGUAACUGGUCUGAGAGGAUGAUCAGUCACAUCGGAACUGAGACACGGUCCGAACUCCUACGGGAGGCAGCAGUGGGGAAUAUUGGACAAUGGGCGAAAGCCUGAUCCAGCAAUACCGCGUGUGUGAAGAAGGCCUUCGGGUUGUAAAGCACUUUAGGUCGGAAAGAAAAAACUUGAGUUAAUACCUUAAGUCUUGACGGUACCGACAGAAUAAGCACCGGCUAACUCUGUGCCAGCAGCCGCGGUAAUACAGAGGGUGCAAGCGUUAAUCGGAUUUACUGGGCGUAAAGCGUGCGUAGGUGGCUGUUUAAGCCGGAUGUGAAAGCCCUGGGCUUAACCUGGGAACUGCAUUCGAUACUGGAUAGCUAGAGAUCGGUAGAGGGCAGCGGAAUUCCGGGUGUAGCGGUGAAAUGCGUAGAUAUCCGGAGGAACACCGAUGGCGAAGGCAACUGCCUGGGCCUGAUC